Molecule: ribosomal RNA, 492 nt
Filed under: uncultured bacterium
Lineage: Bacteria
Description: partial 16S ribosomal RNA
Rfam family: Bacterial small subunit ribosomal RNA
Source: RNAcentral
AGUGAACGCUGGCGGUAGGCCUAACACAUGCAAGUCGAACGGCAGCACAGUAAGAGCUUGCUCUUACGGGUGGCGAGUGGCGGACGGGUGAGGAAUACAUCGGAAUCUACUUUUUCGUGGGGGAUAACGUAGGGAAACUUACGCUAAUACCCCAUACGACUUACGGGUGAAAGCAGGGGAUCUUCGGACCUUGCGCGAUUGAAUGAGCCGAUGUCGGAUUAGCUGGUUGGCGGGGUAAGGGCCCACCAAGGCGACGAUCCGUAGCUGGUCUGAGAGGAUGAUCAGCCACACUGGAACUGAGACACGGUCCAGACUCCUACGGGAGGCAGCAGUGGGGAAUAUUGGACAAUGGGCGCAAGCCUGAUCCAGCCAUACCGCGUGGGUGAAGAAGGCCUUCGGGUUGUAAAGCCCUUUUGUUGGGAAAGAAAAGCAGCAGGUUAAUACCCCGCUGUUCUGACGGUACCCAAAGAAUAAGCACCGGCUAACUUCGUG